RNAcentral lists this ribosomal RNA (700 nucleotides) under uncultured bacterium. Its description in RNAcentral is "bacterial SSU rRNA". It matches the Rfam family "Bacterial small subunit ribosomal RNA", at positions 35 to 749 of the family's 1533-position model. The record is from RNAcentral.
GCUGGCGGUAUGCUUAACACAUGCAAGUCGAACGAGAAGGAAGAGCUUGCUCUUCCUGAAAGUGGCGAACGGGUGAGUAACGCGUGGGUAACCUACCCUUUGGAAAGGAAUAGCCUCGGGAAACUGGGAGUAAUGCCUUAUAAGAUACGUUUGUCGCAUGGCAUUUGUAUUAAACGCUCCGGCGCCAUAGGAUGGACCCGCGUCCCAUUAGCUAGUUGGUGAGAUAACAGCUCACCAAGGCCACGAUGGGUAACCGGUCUGAGAGGGCGAACGGUCACACUGGAACUGAGACACGGUCCAGACUCCUACGGGAGGCAGCAGUGGGGAAUAUUGCGCAAUGGGGGCAACCCUGACGCAGCAAUACCGCGUGAGUGAAGAAGGUUUUCGGAUCGUAAAGCUCUGUUAUUGGGGAAGAAAAAAAGACGGUACCCAAGAAGAAAGUUCCGGCUAACUACGUGCCAGCAGCCGCGGUAAUACGUAGGGAACAAGCGUUGUCCGGAUUUACUGGGCGUAAAGGGCACGCAGGCGGUUUUUUAAGUCAGAUGUGAAAGGCCACAGCUCAACUGUGGACAUGCAUUUGAAACUGAAAGACUUGAGUAUUGGAGAGGCAAGUGGAAUUCCUAGUGUAGCGGUGAAAUGCGUAGAUAUUAGGAGGAACACCGGUGGCGAAGGCGGCUUGCUGGACAAAUACUGACGCUGA